RNAcentral lists this transfer RNA (70 nucleotides) under Scolytinae sp. BMNH 1040351. RNAcentral describes it as "tRNA-Lys". The record is from RNAcentral. Lineage: Eukaryota; Metazoa; Arthropoda; Insecta; Coleoptera; Curculionidae.
CAUUAGAUGGCUGAAAGCAAGCAAUGGUCUCUUAAACCACUUAAUAGUAGAGUAGCUACUACUUCUAAUG